GAUGAACGCUGGCGGCGUGCCUAAUACAUGCAAGUCGAGCGAACGGACGAGAAGCUUGCUUCUCUGAUGUUAGCGGCGGACGGGUGAGUAACACGUGGAUAACCUACCUAUAAGACUGGGAUAACUUCGGGAAACCGGAGCUAAUACCGGAUAAUAUUUUGAACCGCAUGGUUCAAAAGUGAAAGACGGUCUUGCUGUCACUUAUAGAUGGAUCCGCGCUGCAUUAGCUAGCUGGUAAGGUAACGGCUUACCAAGGCAACGAUGCAUAGCCGACCUGAGAGGAUGAUCGGCCACACUGGAACUGAGACACGGUCCAGACUCCUACGGGAGGCAGCAGUAGGGAAUAUUCCGCAAUGGGCGAAAGCCUGACGGAGCAACGCCGCGUGAGUGAUGAAGGUCUUCGGAUCGUAAAACUCUGUUAUUAGGGAAGAACAUAUGUGUAAGUAACUGUGCACAUCUUGACGGUACCUAAUCAGAAAGCCACGGCUAACUACGUG
This 497-nucleotide ribosomal RNA is filed under the name uncultured bacterium. RNAcentral's name for it is "partial 16S ribosomal RNA". It matches the Rfam family "Bacterial small subunit ribosomal RNA", at positions 28 to 507 of the family's 1533-position model. The record is from RNAcentral.